GCCCUGAAACAGUUCCUGCAGGGAUGAGAAGACCUGCCCAUAGCUUGAUGGGAAGAGUUCCUGAGGUCUUUAUAGCAGAAUGAUGAAUUCCAUCCUUUCCAGAAUGCCUUGUAGCUUCUUUGUUAGACAUCACCUUGUUGAGACAGAAUGACUUACUUGACCUAAAUCCAUCCAGCAUCUUUUUCUUGGACUGCAGUUGCCCUUUAGGCCUGUUCUUGCACCACACACUGAAACUCUACUGGUUGCUACGCUUCAGUUCAGGAGAUUUCGAUUGGGUUUGGCUUUGGUAUCAUCACCACUUCCCCUCCUCUUCCCAUGACAUUUGAGCAACACCAAGACUGAAAAGUAAAUAAACCUUGUGCAAUUUCAAAAGGAUGUAGCACUACAGAAGUUCUUUGGGUUGGGUUUGCCAUUUCCUCUGUAUGUUGUCCAGUAUCAAUCCUGAUUUGAAACCUUUAAUAAUCAUAUGUAUAGGCUGUCCUGGUCACUAUCAUCCUGUAGAUUAGCUGUUGAUUUGUCUCAGUUCUUUGAAGCAACAAUGAAAACGUAUUUACAAGACUAGCAGCAGUGCAUGUUAUGUUGUAAGAACUGUGUCUACAGGAAACAGAAAUAUGAUUUAAACACAUAUAAA
Long non-coding RNA from Melopsittacus undulatus (budgerigar), 631 nucleotides. RefSeq lists it as uncharacterized. The transcript has 4 exons. The record is from RefSeq and is a predicted model, not a curated record. Lineage: Eukaryota; Metazoa; Chordata; Aves; Psittaciformes; Psittaculidae.